UAAAGAAUAUAAAUCUACACUAAAAUUAAUGAAAUAGAAAAUUAAUAUCUGAGAAUAUCUCGGAUAUUAAAAUUCAAUGAUAAUCAUAAUUAAAGAUUUCAAUAUAAAUAUAUUGGAAUAUUCUCACAAGGAAUGUUUGAUUAAGAUUUGACUUAAAUAAGCAAAUUCUUCCUUAACGUAGAACCAACGUUGUCGAUAUAAAAAGGAUGAACAGAAAAAAAUUGUUCGUCAUUUUUCGUCAUUUACAUUCCAUAUUACCUAUGGUUCAGCGUGAAAAAAAAUAUUCUUGGCCUUCUUCCAUGUUCGUUCGCGCACUGGUGAUACAACUUUAAAGGCUUUUAAGAGACGCUCACUGCCAGCCAAGUGAUUCCUUUUGAGGGACAAAUUCGAUAUUAAACUCAUGUUUGCGCGUGAUUCAUUUAAAAAAAAAACCAUUAUUAUCGUAACUAGUUAAAAUUUAGAAUUUAGCGAGACAAGUGUGUUGUAGAAAUGAGAUCUAUAGAAAUUUUUUGUAUUUUUGUAUUUUACAGUCGUAAGAUUUUUAGCGUAUACGAUAAAUAGGCGAUUUCAAAACAUAAUUCCAAUAAAAAGAAGGAGAUUCUUUGUGAAUAAUUAACAAACGUAAAAUAAAAAUCUUCUCUUUAAAGAAUUUUAUUCUACGUCUUGUAGAAUUUUAUUUUUUUCCAAAGUAUAGCCUUCUUUAAUUCUUUUUAUCACGUAUUUCCAAGCACAACGCGAUUAAAAAUAUGAAGACAUCAUUCAAGGAAACGAUCUACGAGAUUCGAUUCAUACAAAUUGUAGAUAUUGUAAUCUCGAAAUCUUUCUCGUCACAAAAAGGGUGCAUCUUGCAAUUUUAUGCAACAAUUAUUUGCAAGAAACGGAUAAACGAGAGAUACAUUCGAAAAUCAUGUGUUCUAUUUCACGCUGAACCAUUCGAUGUUUACCGAUCGUGCCUGGAUUAAUUUGUUAUAUUAACGGUUAUUGCCUGGUCACUCGCAAAUUUCGAUUCAUUGAAUAAUUAAAAAAGAAAAAAAAAAGAAGGGAAAAAGAAAAGAAAGGGAAAAUGAAAUGAGAAAAUUUCUAUUUCGCAUACUUCACUUUGCAAUCGUUCAUCUUUGCUGUUAAUAAAUACCGUUGCUACAUCGUAUUACGUUUUUAUCCCUAAUCUAAGGAUAUAUUACCGUGAUUCCACAUUAAACUUUUGAGAAUCAUGAAGAAUACUGCCUAUCUACGUAUUUAAUUCCUUUGGUUAUUCUCGUUGUAGUUUUUCCGUGACGAGACCUCUUUGGAUGUUUUUUUUUUUCUCUCUCUUUUUUUAGAGAUGAAUCUUGAAAGUUUCAACUUUGCAGAAACAUUCGAAGAACGUGUAUUUCUGUGCAAUAGUUAUAGAUUUUGUAUAGCUUGAUCGAAGUACACUUGUACUGAGAUAUCCUUUUAUGAAAUUUUUGUAUAUCCACUUUGAUUUGUUGGAAUAUUUUAGGUUCGAAUAACUUUCGUUUAGAUGUUAAAAUUUCGAGAAAACGUCCGAAGAGAAUAAUAACGCGUUUUGCGACACGAAAACGUCACGAGUAUUUCAUAGAGAAAAUGUUAAUAAGAGAGUGUGUGAGAAACAGAGUAAGCAUGAUAAUGAAGAAACGAAGAAAGCACAAUAAUUACAAUUCCACAUGUCCUACCGUUAACGAUAAUGAAAUUUUUUUUGUUAUUCCCGUUUUUUUUCGAGAAAAUGCCAACAGAGUGAAAGGACAAGAAAGAUAGAGAAUGAAUGAAUGAAUGAGUGAGAGAGAAAUAAAAGUGCAUAAAAAAGGAAACGCAGAUACUUCAGUUCAUACUUGAGAGUUUUAGUUUAUUAAUUUACUUAAUAUUAAUAAAAAAAAAACGAAUGGAAUGAUAAUAACACUAAUAUCAUUGUAAUAAUGAUUAUUAUAUAUAUAUUGCUAUUAUUAUAAAACUGUUUGUAAUAUAUAUUUUAAUUUUGAAAAAACAGCGUGUCGUUUGUUUUUGUGUACGUUUGUCUAACUGUAUUUUCCUUUUUUUUUUUUUUUUUUUUAAAUUUCGUAUCUUUUUCAUUCUCCGUCAAAGUUUUAUCCCUGAUUUCUUAACAAAAAACAAAUACUGACUAUCUACUGUGUGUACAACGCGAUAUAACACACAAUGCUGCCCAUUGUGUUAGCUGUGCAUAAUUGUUGCAUGCCAUACACAAAGGAAAGUCGAUCUAUCAAUGAUGAAAUGGUAGCUGAGAAGGAGAAAUACAAGGAGAUCGGAGAUGGAUUGGAUCAGGCGUUCCAAGAACUCUAUGGCGUCUAACGAGCCACUAACCAACCCCUCUAACGCUUCGACCAAAUAAAUAAAAA
Apis florea (little honeybee) is the source of this 2351-nucleotide long non-coding RNA. NCBI's taxonomy places the organism in Eukaryota, Metazoa, Arthropoda, Insecta, Hymenoptera, Apidae. The record is from RefSeq and is a predicted model, not a curated record.